GAAGAGCCAAGUUGUAAGAAAAGCUUCUAACUUAUUCUUAAAGUGGUUAAAUUCCAUUUUCUUUUCU
Molecule: transfer RNA, 67 nt
Filed under: Ibacus ciliatus (Japanese fan lobster)
Lineage: Eukaryota; Metazoa; Arthropoda; Malacostraca; Decapoda; Scyllaridae
Description: tRNA-Ser
Source: RNAcentral